GGGCCCUUAGCUUAGUUGGUAGAGCGCUGGUUUUGCAUUCCAGAGGUCAGGAGUUCGAAUCUCCUAGGGUCCA
RNAcentral lists this transfer RNA (73 nucleotides) under Minisyncoccota bacterium. RNAcentral describes it as "tRNA-Ala". It matches the Rfam family "tRNA". From Rfam's summary of the family: Transfer RNA (tRNA) molecules are approximately 80 nucleotides in length. Their secondary structure includes four short double-helical elements and three loops (D, anti-codon, and T loops). Lineage: Bacteria; Bacillati; Minisyncoccota. The record is from RNAcentral.